RNAcentral lists this small RNA (2713 nucleotides) under Pongo abelii (Sumatran orangutan). RNAcentral describes it as "retained intron". Lineage: Eukaryota; Metazoa; Chordata; Mammalia; Primates; Hominidae. The record is from RNAcentral.
GCGUGACAACAAGAUGGCGGCGCUGCGGGACGGCUAGUGGCCCUGCGUGGGAGUUCCUGACAGCUGGAUUCUAGACGUAGAACUAUGAGCUCACCUUUGGCCUCCCUUAGCAAGACCCGGAAAGUGCCCCUGCCCUCGGAGCCUGUGAAUCCUGGGAGGCGAGGAAUCCGCAUCUACGGAGAUGAAGAUGAGGUGGACAUGUUGAGUGAUGGGCGUGGCUCAGAAGAAAAGAUCUCAGUCCCUUCCUGCUAUGGUGGCAUAGGUGCCCCGGUGAGUCGGCAAGUCCCUGCAUCGCAUAACUCGGAGCUGAUGGCCUCCAUGACGAGGAAGUUGUGGGACCUGGAGCAGCAGGUGAAGGCCCAGACUGAUGAGAUACUGUCCAAGGAUCGGAAGAUAGCGGCCCUGGAGGACCUGGUGCAGACCCUCCAGCCACAUCCAGCCGAGGCAACCCUGCAGCGGCAGGAGGAACUGGAGACGAUGUGCGUGCAGCUGCAGCGGCAGGUCAGGGAGAUGGAGCGGUUCCUCGGUGACUAUGGCCUGCAGUGGGUGGGCGAGCCCAUGGACCAGGAGGACUCAGAGAGCAAGACGGUCUCAGAGGAUGGCGAGAGGGACUGGAUGACAGCCAAGAAGUUCUGGAAGCCAGGGGACUCAUUGGCGCCCCCUGAGGUGGACUUUGACAGGCUGCUGGCCAGCCUGCAGGAUCUUAGUGAGCUGGUGGUAGAGGGUGACACCCAGGUGACACCAGUGCCCGGCGGGGCACGGCUGCGUACCCUCGAGCCCAUCCCGCUGAAGCUCUACCGGAAUGGCAUCAUGAUAUUCGACGGGCCCUUCCAGCCCUUCUACGAUCCCUCCACACAGCGCUGUCUCCGAGACAUAUUGGAUGGCUUCUUUCCCUCAGAGCUCCAGCGACUGUACCCCAACGGGGUCCCCUUUAAGGUGAUGAGCUGCUCCUCAAACUACACCUCUGGGGAUUUUGAAGGGAGUGGGGAUACACAGCUUCCCCAGGCACCUCCCAUUCUGAGGGGGAGCCACUGCACUCCCUGGGGGACCCCAGUCUGAUGCCCUCUAGGAGGAUAAGUCUGGAAGCCAGGCUGGGAAGGGAGCAGAGAGGCCCGAAACAGCAGCAGGCAGCGCCCUCUCCUGGCACCCUGGAGACAGCCUCGGCUGUGGGGCCACUGCCUUCUAGUCCUCCCCAGCUUUCAGGACACCUUGACAACCUGGGGUCCCUGCAGAAGUGGCCCAGCUAUCCCCCAAGUCUCCUGAAGCUAUCUGGGUAGGGUGGGAGGCAGUGCUGUGAGCCACAAAUGCAAAGCAGAGGGGACAGAUGUUGGAACUCAAGGACAUAAGGUAGAACUGGUCCCAUGGGUAGGUGCCACCACCGGAGCCCAUGAGGUUUCGUGUUCCAGAAGGUGGUGGGUUAGUGCCGCACUGAGGGCGUGUCAGGGAGGGAGCAUGUGUCACCAGGGCUCAGGAAACAGCAUGAGUCAUGACGGGGGGUGUUUAAGGCAUUCGUGCCACAAUGGGGGCCUCGGAGCUAUGCCUUGAUGAGGCAAGUGAGGUUCCGUGUAUGAUGAUGCGGUUUGUGCUGCAGACUGGAAAAAAGCAGGGGCUUUGUCCUCUUCUGACCCCCUCACACUCUGCCUUCACGGUAGGCUCCUGAGAGGGGGGUCUCCAAGGAGGGUGUCAGUACUGCAGCUUCAGCUGGCGUGGAUGGGGUGCUUACAGGAGCAGCAGGGCCGAGGGAGAUGACAGCAGUAUGAACUAUGAGGCCUGUGUUUCCUCAUAUGUAAAACGGGGGUUGCAUUAGACCAUACCCUUGGCCUGUGUUUAGGCAAAUAGGGAUGAAAGUGGGGCCAAGGGCUGAAGAGCUGGGCCUGCUGCCGUCGCCCUUCUUUCUUGCCAGGUGAGUGACUUGCGCAAUCAGGUCUACCUGGAGGAUGGGCUGGACCCCUUCCCAGGCGAGGGCCGUGUGGUGGGCAGGCAGCGGAUGCACAAGGCCUUGGACAGGGUGGAGGAGCACCCAGGCUCCAGGAUGACUGCUGAGAAAUUUCUGAACAGGCUCCCCAAGUUUGUGAUCCGGCAAGGCGAGGUGGUUGACAUCCGGGGCCCCAUCAGGGACACCUUGCAGAACUGCUGCCCAUUGUCUGCCCGGAUCCAGGAGAUUGUGGUGGAGACGCCCACCUUGGCCGCUGAACGAGAGAGGUGAGGGCGGGACGAGGAGGUGAGGGCCUGGGGGCGUUGGGUCACUGAGCGCUGAUGGCCUCUGGGCUGUGCAGGAGCCAGGAGUCGCCCAACACGCCGGCACCCCCGCUCUCCAUGCUGCGCAUCAAGUCUGAGAAUGGGGAACAGGCCUUCCUACUGAUGAUGCAGCCUGACAACACCAUUGGGGACGUGCGAGCUCUGCUAGCGCAGGCCAGGUGGGCGCAGGGCAGGGCUGGGGCCACAGAGGGGCUCUGGCCCCACUGCCCAGCCUGAUCUGCUCUGCCUGGUCCCCAGGGCCAUGGAUGCCUCCGCCUUUGAGAUCUUCAGCACAUUCCCACCCACCCUCUACCAGGAUGAUGCACUCACGCUGCAGGCUGCAGGCCUGGUGCCCAAAGCAGCACUGCUGCUGCGGGCACGCCGAGCCCCGAAGUCCAUCCCGAAAUUCAGUCCUGGUCCCUGUCCCGGUCCCGGCCCCAGUCCCAGCCCCCAAUAAAGUGCCCGCCCCCUCAAC